ACGUCUGUCGCUUCGGCCAGAAGUCGUCGAACUUGGGGGGGAGUAUCAUAAGCUCUUCCCGACACUUCUGUUGCUUCGGCCAGAAGCUGUCACAUUAUGAGCAUGAUAGAUCUGUCGCUUCGACCAGAUCAAUCAAGGAUUUAUUGAGCAUAAGGAGGAGCAGCACGAGGAGCAGCCCCGCACGGCAAGGUCAGUAAAUCAAUAAAUAUAUCCUUUAGACUAAUACAGUUAUUUUGCAGGUUAUUUUUAUUUUGCAGUAAUGAUUCUGUCGCUUUGGUCAGAAUCGGGUCUAUUUUGUCGCUUCGGCCUUAAUAGAUCCAGGUCCAUUUUGUCGCUUUGGCCUUAAUGGACCAAGAAUUAUUUUGUCGCUUCGGCCUCAAUAAUUUUUCUAUCUUGUCGCUUUGGCCUUGAU
RNAcentral lists this long non-coding RNA (412 nucleotides) under Zostera marina. Its description in RNAcentral is "long non-coding RNA (ZMAR_LNC003673)". Lineage: Eukaryota; Viridiplantae; Streptophyta; Magnoliopsida; Alismatales; Zosteraceae. The record is from RNAcentral.